ACCCCAGACUCCUACGGGAGGCAGCAGUGGGGAAUAUUGGGCAAUGGGCGCAAGCCUGACCCAGCAACGCCGCGUGAAGGAAGAAGGCUUUCGGGUUGUAAACUUCUUUUCUCAGGGACGAAGAAAGUGACGGUACCUGAGGAAUAAGCCACGGCUAACUACGUGCCAGCAGCCGCGGUAAUACGUAGGGGGCAAGCGUUAUCCGGAUUUACUGGGUGUAAAGGGAGCGUAGACGGCGGCGCAAGUCCGGAGUGAAAGCCCACGGCCCAACCGUGGGACUGCUCUGGAAACUGUGCGGCUUGAGUGCGGGAGGGGCAGGCGGAAUUCCUAGUGUAGCGGUGAAAUGCGUAGAUAUUAGGAGGAACACCAGUGGCGAAGGCGGCCUGCUGGACGACAACUGACGGUGAGGCGCGAAAGCGUGGGGAGCAAACAGGAUUAGAUACCCUGGUA
RNAcentral lists this ribosomal RNA (450 nucleotides) under uncultured bacterium. Its description in RNAcentral is "partial 16S ribosomal RNA". It matches the Rfam family "Bacterial small subunit ribosomal RNA", at positions 328 to 792 of the family's 1533-position model. The record is from RNAcentral.